Long non-coding RNA from Lolium perenne, 689 nucleotides. RefSeq lists it as uncharacterized. Lineage: Eukaryota; Viridiplantae; Streptophyta; Magnoliopsida; Poales; Poaceae. The record is from RefSeq and is a predicted model, not a curated record.
CCUCCGCCAUAUGAGCACGGUAUUUCCCUUGUACGGAAAUUUGCAUCUAUCUCAUAUUGAAGCGAUGGAGCCAGAGGCAGCCGGUGGCGGCCGCAGCACCACCCCUGUAAAUUCACCAGGUAGUCACUCGUCUCCCGAUCUGUAUUACAUCACAGGUAAUCCCAACUCUCUAGAUCUGUAGUUCAUCAGGCAAUCCUUCCUCUCCAAUCUUUAUUUCAUCAGGUAAUCCCUCGUCUCCUGAUCUGUAUAUCAUCAGGUAAUCGAUCUUCUCCCAUAUCUCUUACCUGAAUUCCUCCUCUCCGAAUCUGUCAUGAAUCAACUCCGAUCAUUCUCAUCGCAGGCACAGCCAGCCAGUGGCAACUCCGAUGAGUUGAUUACGACUUUGACUAAGGCACGCAUCGACCAAUGCCCGAUCGCAGGGACGCCCUCUCCAGGGGCAAUGGGAUUGCCGAUAGGCAAUGCCAGCAGAGGAAUGCAUCAAAGCGGAUACUGAUGGGAUGGUGGUGGAUUCGUUUCCUUCUUGACUUCUCACAUGGCAUCCAAAUAUAAAAUCAAGCAAAGAGUUUCCCAUCAACCGAAAAUGCAAUCAUCAAAGAAGUGUUAUAUUGAAGAUACCGUUGUUUGUUGAUGUACUUCUUGGAAAUCAGCAAUUUUCAGGAUUGAACAGCUGCAUAGUUAGACUCUUGUGC